UAAGGAAUAUUGGUCAAUGGACGCAAGUCUGAACCAGCCAUGCCGCGUGAAGGAUUAAGGCCCUCUGGGUUGUAAACUUCUUUUAUAGGGGAAGAAAUGUGACGGUUCUCCGUCACUUGACGGUACCCUGGGAAUAAGCACCGGCUAACUCCGUGCCAGCAGCCGCGGUAAUACGGAGGGUGCAAGCGUUAUCCGGAUUCACUGGGUUUAAAGGGUGCGUAGUUGGGCAGAUAAGUCAGUGGUGAAAUCUUCCGGCUUAACCGGGAAACUGCCGUUGAUACUAUUUGUCUUGAAUAUUGCGGAGGUAAGCGGAAUAUGUCAUGUAGCGGUGAAAUGCUUAGAUAUGACAUAGAACACCAAUUUCGAAGGCAGCUUACUACAUAUAAAUUGACGCUGAGGCACGAAAGCGUGGGGAUCAAACA
This 422-nucleotide ribosomal RNA is filed under the name uncultured bacterium. RNAcentral's name for it is "bacterial SSU rRNA". It matches the Rfam family "Bacterial small subunit ribosomal RNA", at positions 355 to 774 of the family's 1533-position model. The record is from RNAcentral.